UACGUAGGUGGCAAGCGUUGUCCGGAUUUACUGGGCGUAAAGGAUGCGUAGGCGGACAUUUAAGUCAGAAUGUGAAAUACCCGAGCUUAACUUGGGUGCUGCAUUUGAAACUGGGUGUCUAGAGUGCAGGAGAGGUAAGUGGAAUUCCUAGUGUAGCGGUGAAAUGCGUAGAGAUUAGGAAGAACACCAGUGGCGAAGGCGACUUACUGGACUGUAAACUGACGCUGGAGGCAUGAAAGCGUGGGGAGCAAACAGG
This 256-nucleotide ribosomal RNA is filed under the name uncultured bacterium. Its description in RNAcentral is "partial 16S ribosomal RNA". It matches the Rfam family "Bacterial small subunit ribosomal RNA", at positions 524 to 776 of the family's 1533-position model. The record is from RNAcentral.